UGGGGAAUAUUGGACAUUGGGCGAAAGCCUGAUCCAGCCAUGCCGCGUGUGUGAAGAAGGCCUUUUGGUUGUAAGCACUUUAAGUGGGGAGGAAAAGCUUAUGGUUAAUACCCAUAAGCCCUGACGUUACCCACAGAAUAAGCACCGGCUAACUCUGUGCCAGCAGCCGCGGUAAUACAGAGGGUGCAAGCGUUAAUCGGAAUUACUGGGCGUAAAGCGCGCGUAGGUGGUUAUUUAAGUCAGAUGUGAAAGCCCCGGGCUUAACCUGGGAACUGCAUCUGAUACUGGAUAACUAGAGUAGGUGAGAGGGGAGUAGAAUUCCAGGUGUAGCGGUGAAAAGCGUAGAGAUCUGGAGGAAUACCGAUGGCGAAGGCAGCUCCCUGGCAUCAUACUGACACUGAGGUGCGAAAGCGUGGGUAGCAAACAGGAUUAGAUACCCUGGUAGUCCACGCCGUAAACGAGUCUACCAGUCGUUGGGUCUUUUAAAGACUUAGUGACGCAGUUAACGCAAUAAGUAGACCGCCUGGGGAGUACGGCCGCAAAGGUUAAA
This 550-nucleotide ribosomal RNA is filed under the name uncultured bacterium. RNAcentral's name for it is "bacterial SSU rRNA". It matches the Rfam family "Bacterial small subunit ribosomal RNA", at positions 355 to 898 of the family's 1533-position model. The record is from RNAcentral.